GGAAAAUUCAUGUAAUUCCUGCUGAAGUUAAUGGGAUUUCUAUUAAUGAAAAUGAAAAUAGAAGUACCUUCUAAACAUCUUCAUAGUCAGAAUUACACAGCGUGGUUAAGAUCGGAAUGGACCUAUGGAAGUCAUCUAGUCCAAACUUUCUGCUCAAGUGAGGUCACAUAGAGUUAGCUGCCUAGCACUAGAAGGUUUUUGACAGCAUAUGUUUCAGCCACUGCUCAGACACCAUGAUGAUGUUCCCUUGGGUAUACUGCAUUCAUUCCAAUGAAUUUUUAGUUCUAUCCAUUUUCUUUUAUGUUUAUUUCUUGGUUUGUACUGUAUAGGUGCACCUUUUAAUAUAUAUGACAUAGAGGAAUAUCAAGCUUUUGACACAGCAAACCAAGACUGUGUUAACUUGUAGUUGAUUAUUUCAUUCAUAUUAAACUUUUUUUGGAUUUCAGGAGGAAGGCCUAUAUAGCCAGUGUGAAGUCUCUUUCCAAGGACUCAUGUGGAGAUUAACGUUGAAAUUAUACAGAAUUAAGAAAGAACAAGUGGAAAACACAAAACAAAGAAAGAAACCAGUCUUCAUUGUUUUGGUUAACUUCACAGAAGAUUACAGCCGGGAUGAGGACAUUUGUCCAGGAACUACUGUAAUAAGGCUACCAAUUAAUAGGGCACUGGACAGUUAUCAAAGAGUAGACAAUAUUAUUUAUGCUGACAUAACCUAUGUUGGAGCCAUGAACCUGAUGUGAAUUGCUUUUCAAUCUGUCAGUUCUCUCAGCCACCUUGUCAUCAUGUGCUGUCUCCUGCCUGCUUUCUGUUCAUUACCCAAAUUGAUAAGUGUCCAGGAGAACCUUUAAUUUACUUGCAAAUAUUUUUCUUCAUGUCUUGAAAUGAUGUGUUUACACUUACCUUUACUAAUGAGUCACUUCUGCUUUACUACAUUUUGAAUGGCUUUCCUUUACUUUAAUGUAAUUUAUCCUGUUCCUAUAUCCUGAAGUGUCAGGUACUGUUGAGAAAACUUGUAAGUGCAAUUGCUAAAAAUUGGCAUCUUUUGACUUUCCCAUAUGGCCCUCUAACUUUUACUUCUCCAGAUAUUUAAUUUUAGGGAAGAAAUAAACAAUUCUCCUUUCCAAAUAUUCUCA
RNAcentral lists this long non-coding RNA (1130 nucleotides) under Anas platyrhynchos platyrhynchos (common mallard). Its description in RNAcentral is "lncRNA (ENSAPLG00000024604.1)". Lineage: Eukaryota; Metazoa; Chordata; Aves; Anseriformes; Anatidae. The record is from RNAcentral.